CCAAGGCUUGACAUAUAGAGGAAAAGUGCAGAAAUGCACUCCCCGCAAGGUCUCUAUACAGGUGGUGCAUGGUUGUCGUCAGCUCGUGUCGUGAGAUGUUGGGUUAAGUCCCGCAACGAGCGCAACCCUCGUCCUAUGUUGCCAGCACGUUAUGGUGGGAACUCAUGGGAUACUGCCGGGGUCAACUCGGAGGAAGGUGGGGAUGACGUCAAAUCAUCAUGCCCCUUAUGUCUUGGGCUUCACGCAUGCUACAAUGGCCGGUACAGAGGGCUGCAAUACCGCAAGGUGGAGCGAAUCCCAAAAAGCCGGUCUCAGUUCGGAUUGAGGUCUGCGACUCGACCUCAUGAAGUCGGAGUCGCUAGUAAUCGUAGAUCAGCAACGCUACGGUGAAUACGUUCCCGGGUCUUGUACACACGCAAUC
Molecule: ribosomal RNA, 421 nt
Filed under: uncultured bacterium
Lineage: Bacteria
Description: bacterial SSU rRNA
Rfam family: Bacterial small subunit ribosomal RNA
Source: RNAcentral